GCCGGAAGAUUGGGCUGAUGCACCUUCAUGAAGUUGACGUUGAUGAAGAAUGGCUGA
This 57-nucleotide small RNA is filed under the name Sinorhizobium meliloti 2011. Its description in RNAcentral is "putative ncRNA". The record is from RNAcentral. Lineage: Bacteria; Pseudomonadati; Pseudomonadota; Alphaproteobacteria; Hyphomicrobiales; Rhizobiaceae.